GACGAACGCUGGCGGCGUGCCUAAUACAUGCAAGUUGAGCGAUGAAGAUUGGUGCUUGCACCAAUUUGAAGAGCAGCGAACGGGUGAGUAACGCGUGGGGAAUCUGCCUUUGAGCGGGGGACAACAUUUGGAAACGAAUGCUAAUACCGCAUAAUAACUUUAAACAUAAGUUUUAAGUUUGAAAGAUGCAAUUGCAUCACUCAAAGAUGAUCCCGCGUUGUAUUAGCUAGUUGGUGAGGUAAAGGCUCACCAAGGCGAUGAUACAUAGCCGACCUGAGAGGGUGAUAGGCCACAUGGGGACUGAGACACGGCCCAAACUCCUACGGGAGGCAGCAGUAGGGAAUCUUCGGCAAUGGACGAAAGUCUGACCGAGCAACGCCGCGUGAGUGAAGAAGGUUUUCGGAUCGUAAAACUCUGUUGGUAGAGAAGAACGUUGGUGAGAGUGGAAAGCUCAUCAAGUGACGGUAACUACCCAGAAAGGGACGGCUAACUACGUG
This 497-nucleotide ribosomal RNA is filed under the name uncultured bacterium. RNAcentral describes it as "partial 16S ribosomal RNA". It matches the Rfam family "Bacterial small subunit ribosomal RNA", at positions 28 to 507 of the family's 1533-position model. The record is from RNAcentral.